UACGAGAGGCCCAAACGUUAUUCGGAAUUACUGGGCUUAAAGAGUUCGUAGGCGGCAUGAAAAGUAGGGUGUGAAAGCCCUCGGCUCAACCGAGGAAUUGCGCUCUAAACUGUCGUGCUCGAGGAAUCUAGAGGUGAGCGGAACUGAUGGUGGAGCGGUGAAAUGCGUUGAUAUCAUCAGGAACACCGGAGGCGAAGGCGGCUCACUGGGGAUUUUCUGACGCUGAGGAACGAAAGCCAAGGGAGCGAACGGG
RNAcentral lists this ribosomal RNA (253 nucleotides) under uncultured bacterium. RNAcentral describes it as "partial 16S ribosomal RNA". It matches the Rfam family "Bacterial small subunit ribosomal RNA", at positions 524 to 776 of the family's 1533-position model. The record is from RNAcentral.